CCUACGGGUGGCAGCAGUGGGGAAUAUUGCACAAUGGGGGAAACCCUGAUGCAGCGACGCCGCGUGAGUGAAGAAGUAUUUCGGUACGUAAAACUCUAUUAGCAGGGAAGAAAAUGAAGGUACCUGACUAAGAAUCCCCGGCUAACUACGUGCCAGCAGCCGCGGUAACACGUAGGGGGCAAGCGUUAUCCGGAUUUACUGGGUGUAAAGGGGGCGUAGACGGCAGCGCAAGUCUGAAGUGAAAUCCCAUGGCUUAACCAUGGAUCUGCAUUGGAAACUGUGCGGCUGGAGUGCAGGAGAGGUAAGCGGAAUUGCUGGUGUAGCGGUGAAAUGCGUAGAUAUUAGGAGGAACACCAGUGGCGAAGGCGGCUUACUGGACUGUAACUGACGUUGAGGCUCGAAAGCGUGGGGAGCAAACAGGAUUAGAUACCCUAGUAGUC
This 440-nucleotide ribosomal RNA is filed under the name uncultured bacterium. Its description in RNAcentral is "partial 16S ribosomal RNA". It matches the Rfam family "Bacterial small subunit ribosomal RNA", at positions 338 to 795 of the family's 1533-position model. The record is from RNAcentral.